This is a long non-coding RNA of Coturnix japonica (Japanese quail), 6986 nucleotides long. RefSeq lists it as uncharacterized. The record is from RefSeq and is a predicted model, not a curated record. Lineage: Eukaryota; Metazoa; Chordata; Aves; Galliformes; Phasianidae.
GUAAUGGGGAAGGGGGGGUGUGAGGAGCUCUGGGUGAAACCUUGGGCCUGUCCGCCUGUUGGAUUUAAUGUAAAGUGAAAAAGGGCCACUUUUUCUAGGGGGGGUUUGGCGAGGAAUGGCAGCAGGCCUCCCCUUUUUGUGGAGAGCAAAGCACGCUGCUGGUCUGCGUUGAAGACUGGAGGGGGCUCGAUCUGGGCAGAAAGUUUUUGUUGUUUUGUUUUUUUCCUUUUUUUUAAUUCCUUUUCUCCUUUUCCCUUCUCUAUAAGUAAAAUGGGAUUACUUGGGGGUGCCCUUGCUGGUAUUUUCAAGGGCCUUAUAGUCUGAUUAUAGGGAGAAAAAGGCUGCAAAAUACACAAAGUCAACAACGGGAAUGGUUUGUUUUGCUAAAUUGAUCCAGUUCUAGUAAUCUGAAGUGUUUAGUUGUUGCAGGAGGCAGUUUCUGAAGCUGCGGCUUGCAAGUUGAUAUUGUCCUUUAAAUACCUCUCCAACAGUUGUCCAAGGAUUAUUUUUAUCUAUGAAUUUCUUUAAUGCAGUGUUUGCUUUUGUUUCCUUUUUAAACAGUGCUUUAAAACAAGAGAUUGAAGGAAGCUACUUUGUAGACAAAUAUGUUUUGUUUUGAAGGUUAGAUAUUACUAAAAUUGUCCUGAACCUAUAAAUAAAGUAUUUAUUAUGUAGGAAUCUGAUCUGGAGCUGGUGGUGACCUCUCUUUCAGUUUGCCACGCAUACACACUUUUUAGAAUGAAGGUAAUGCUUAAGGCCCGUCAUCUGUUUGAAAACGAAGCUGAAUUUGUGCCCAGAGUUAUUAAGAGCUAUAUGGAAGUGUUAAAUUGAGUGCUUUUUGGGACCAGGAUGCUGAAGAGCUCAUGUACCUCAUUCAAACUCCACUGAAGUCUGUUGAAAUCUAAUGCAUGCUGAUGAGACCCUAAAAUGGAAGCUCAGACCCACAUCAGCAGUCACCCAGAUCCUAUUCCUGCCUCAGACUUAAUCUUUGGAUAUGAUGGGACUCCAAUUCCUGUACUGGGCACUGCUUCUCUGUGAGCAAGACAUUUGUUAGGAACCUAAUUCAUCAUUAAUAUAACAGUGAUUGAAAUCUGCCAAGAUCAGUAACUAGCCUUCCUCACCAAGAGAUGGAGAAUCCUUGCUGUUGUUAAUGUCAAAGGGCGCACUCAAUGGAGACAUGCUGUGCUUUGGUGGCUCUUUUGUUCUGAAUGGCCUGUGACCACAGAGACAGACCUGGAGCAGCUGUGGGGCUUUCUGAAUUUGCAGAAGAGAUCAGGAACGGAGAGACAAGUGCUUCUUCGCCUGAAGUGGGAAACUGUUCCCUCAUGUUUCUUGGGAGAUGGUGGUCAGAAGAUUAUAACUAAUGGAUUUUUGAGCAAAAGGCUGCAUUAAUAAAAGCCCGUGAAAAGGUUAAUGAAGAAAAUGCCCAUAGGUUAAGGCCUGAAGUACCUCUACUGAGACUGGAGUUACCUGCCAACUUUGCUGGUCCCAAACCAAGCAUCUUGGCUGAAAAUCACCCACAAAUCAGAAAGUUUAAAAGGGCCUCAGAAAUAUUAGACGACUAAAACCUCUGAAAUAGGAGGUAUUAAUCUCAUUCCCAAAAUUAGAAAGCAUGCAGUGUUGAGAGACUGGAUGUCAAAAUUACAUGUUCGUAGCACUUAUGUGAUGGGAAUCUAGGAACCAACCACUUUUAAAAAUGGGAGCUAAAGUAGAUGGAGAAUCUUCCGAGAGUAAAGCCAUCUAAACUUGGUCUUCUUGUCCUUACUGGAUUAAGGGGCACCCUUUCAGAUAAAAACAUGGACGUGAUUGGCAUCAUCCUGUAUCCAUGGAAACAUUUUAAGUACCUCUCUCUCAAUAUGUACUUCUCUUAUUCAGGGUUUAAAAGCUGAGUACUGAAUAAUACACUUCGACCAAAAUGCUAGGAGAGCAUGAGAAAAAGUACAGCAAAAGAGGAACUUUACUUGCAGAUCUCUAUCCAUGGCAUGAAAUUUUGUGACUUUAGGCAUUAGCACUAAGUUGGACUCAGGAGUUUUUCAUGAGGACCCAGAAUCUGAUCAACAGUGGACAUCUAGAACAGAGGACAUCUUCACAUGAGCACCACCUGUGCCAGAAGCUAAGAUGGUGCCUCAUGUUGUUCACAAGAAGAAAGUGAAGCUUUGGUGCCAUGAAUUCACCCACUGAGAGUCCUACUACUGCAGGAGGACUGUAGCAUGAGCAGAAGUACCAGCUUGGCCACAGGCCUUGUGCCCUCACUUAAAAUUCCAGAUCUUCAGGAGACUGAAGGGUCAGCAACUAGGAAGAACUGGACAACACUACUGGUUUGGAUAAGUGAAUCUCCAGUAAGAAGAUGUAUUCCACAUACUGUCUUCAUGCCUUCUAUAAAGCUCAGUAAAGCCUAUGGACGUAUAUCCACGCAUUUCACUAAACUGUGGUUUGAAAGAAUCCUGUCUGAAGAGCACAUUUUAUGGCUGUACAACCCAAAUAUCCUUUGGUUUUAAUGGAAGCUUUACUGGACUAAAAGUAAGGUGUUUUAUUACGCUAUAGCCUAAUGCAUUUUGUUGAUGAGAGUACAAUUUAACCUGUUAAAUCCAAAAAGUAUCUCUAUCUUGAACUAAGGUUGAUCUUGACAGGAAAAAGUAAAUGUGAACCAACAAUAAAACCUGUAUUAUUUGCAUGAGAAUGCUAUUGAUUUUCAUUCAGACUAAUCAACUCUUUGCGGUAGGUAGGGUCAACCAUUUCAGAGCAGUUUGUUAAAGCCAUUUUUUUUCUGUAAGGAUCGGACACAGUUUGGAAAGCAAAGAACUAAAACCCAAUGGACCAGUUCUUCAAAUAUGAGUAUAGGCUAAAGUAGUUCCUGCAAAUCAAUAUUGCUACUUCCUGCAGUGCUGUUACUAAAGAGAAUGGGCAUGUUCAGGGCUGGCCUGUGGCGUUUAGUUCGUUCUUGUAAUCCCAAGUAUGAAAAAUUAUUGAGUGUGUCUUUUUGAUUUUAUUAUGGAAAUGAGGUUGGACAGUCUUCAUCUGGCACAAAAAGAGUGGCAGGAUUCCUUGUUUCUCCUGAUCUCUGCUCAUGUAAGUACAGAAAUUUGAAAUCAAGCCAUGCACAGUAUUGCCAGUUGUUUUAAGGCCACAGCAUUUACACCUAUAAAUGAGAACCUUUAAAAGAAUCAUUACAAUUAUAGUCAGCAGCCUUGUUACUUAAUUACAUCCUGGUGUAGCCUCUGCAACUCAAAAAGUUUACAGGCAGUUUAAGAACUGAGAAGUUAAAUGUAUUUUAAAAUGUGUACACUGUGGUGCCUCUGAAUAAUUCUUUGCUACUACUCAGUGCCAGCUCAGAAUUUCACACCCUUGAACAGAUUGACUGGUUUGGCUUGUGUAAUAGGUACCCUGCUAUCCUGGACUACUUGGUGAGUGGGUGGAGAUGGGUGCUUUUGGAAAUGCCAAUUGAUAGCUAACCAUAACAAGUCAGAGUUAUGUGUGAGUUGAGAAGGUAGAUCUAUCUUAAGCAAAAUGGAUCUACUGAGACGCCUAGGAGCAACCAUAAAACUAGCAAGAAUGCUUUGCAAAUCAGCCAAGAACAGUUACUGCAGACAUUGGGAAGGUUUCUGGUAGGGUUUUUGGGGAGCAGCUCUGGGGGUUCUCAUGUUUGCCACCUAAAGGUUACUCAGCCCCGUGUGAAGCAGUGUUGGCAGUGCAGUUCUCACAGGGGAUUGUUCUUCAGGACAAUAGUGUGUUACCUUUUAUGCUUUUGCUUUCUGAACAGGAAGGAAAGGCACACGGGAAGUCUAAAAAAAGGAGAAUUUUAAUUCAAAGACAUAAUGUAACGCCGCCCUCAAUAUACUCAUUCCCACUGUGUCAGCUACUGAAAAAAACAAAACAAAAAAACCCAACCAAAACAAAACAAAAAAAACCCCACUUGUGCAUGCUAUAACUCAUUAAAUAAAAUCUGAUGAACUUUUGCCUUUAUAUUUUGGAGAAAACAUAGACCAGUGUCAUGUAUUAUGGCCCAACUUAUAUGGUCCAACUUAGUUCUUUUUUUUUCAAUAUUUUUUCUUUGCAUUCCAAAUUCCAACAAGAGAAAUUGAAUGCAUUUUAAAUUGUUAUUUACAUUGUGAACACUCUUAGGGUGGUUCUCUGUACCAAACAACAUCUUUGUCUUGAAGACAUUACAAUACUGAGCAGCUGAGAAGCCUGAAGACAAGCUUUGCUGUUAACCAUCUGACUUCUGUCAAAGUCACCUUAGCCCAGCGGGUCUGGUCAGAAAUGUCUGAAAUCCUCCCAGGUCUCAGGAAGACUGUCUGCUUGAGAUCAUAUAGGGCACUGCUGGCAGCACACAGCACAUUCCUGGGUUUACAGGCCCUACAUGAUAUUUCAGGCAGCUCUUGUUUCUGCGGCUAUGACCUGUUGCUGAGAGUCAAGCCACUAUGUAAACAAGAAGGACUUCAAACUCACAGUGUGUUGCUUUCCAGAGCAAGUGGUCAUUUGUUCCAGUUUCCCAUGACCACCUUACUGCUUGGGUUUGCUGUUCAGAAAAAAUACAUCAAUUUGCAGCAUUAAUGCUAGGCAAGGAAGAGGGGUUGGAAGUACAGACUGCAUUAGUACAUAUUAUUAAAUGUGCCAAGAGGAUAAUGUUACCUUAUCCCCAGUUUCAGCACUUUAAAAUGCUCUCCUUAUUAAAAUUUAAAAAAAAAACAAAAACAAACAAAACCAACCCCCUCCCCCACCCCCCCCAAAAAAAAAACAAAACCAAACAACAAAAAUGAAAGUUCAAACACUCAAACUUGUGUAGCCAAAACAAAAUCCAACUUAGGAAAUACAUUAUUUAGCUAUUAGCAAGAUGAUCUGACUUUAAAACUCCAUCCAUUAUACCAAUUUCUCCACCGAUGCCAUACAAAAUCAUUUAUUUUUCAUUACAUUUAUAACUCUAUCCAGAAAGAGACAGGAAAAGCAAUAUCAGAGGGUGAUUUACAUUGGGCUGGAUUUUGCUGCAACUUGGCAUUGUGAAUGAAUCUUUGGAAUACUCAAAAAGUACACAAGGAAAAAGCCAGGUUUUAAUUUGCUGAAGAAAAUAUUCUGACAUGUUGAUAAGUGAGGUAACCAAAAAUCAUGGCUUAAAAACAUUCUGAAUGAUUGCUGUUUCAGCUGUCCCAAUCCACAUGAUGGUAUUAAAACAGACUGGUGGUAAAGAAUACUAACAGCCUAUUUCUACCUGGGAAUAUUAACUCUCACUUGCUGACUGUUAUGUGGAAUUAAUGUGGACAUUUCCAGUUGUAUAUGCAUUAGUGCAGCUCUUGUUUUCAGAGUCAGGGAUUCAUAUUUAGUAGCGUGCAGUGUAAAUCGGAGGCUAAUCUGACAUCUUUAAUUCACAUGUAAAUCUGAGGCAGCUACUCUGAAGUUAGUGAGGUUUCCUCAGAUUUAUAUCUCUGUUGCUAAAAACAGAGCACAGUGGUCUAUUUUUAGAUAACCUGGAAUUGCAUAUGUUGAAAUGUGCUACCUGCCCUGGUGUCUUCAUGAAAAAGCUCAAGCCUGUUUGAAAAUAUAAAUUAAUUUUAAUGCAGUUUGGAAACCUUCUGUGCAUUCAAAAUAUGCCACAGCAUUCACUAGUCUUCCUGCAGCUGUGCCUAACUGCUGAGGGAUGACAGUCCUUUCUCUCUGCAAUACCUUUCAGACAAGCCCCAUUUAUGGCACAGAAAAUAUUUUUUUUUUCAGGUAACUCUUAAGGAGCAUCUAAAUAUGUAAUACAGCUUAUCGAUAAUGGAUAGAAUAUAAGUUGAUUUUGGUGAUUAUCUUUUCCCACCAGUAGCAUCAAAAGACAAUAGAAUCACCCCCCACCCAGGGCUUGAAAAACCAGGACCAUGGUGUGUUAACCACAAAGCUGAUGGAAAUAUCCUUCCCUGUCAGCAUCCCAAGCACCCUUUUGCCCUCUUGCAAGAAGAAGGUGGAGAGCAAGGCUGGAGAAGGGAGCACCCCUGUUCACGAGGGAUCCCUCCAGCCUCCAUCCGUCCAUCUGUCCAACUGUGCUCAGACAGAGUCAGUGGUUGGGGUGGGCAAGCUCCCCAGGCCUAGCAAUUAAGUAUAAAAAACCUGUCUUUAUCCAAACAGGACAUCUGUAUUUUGGAAAUUUCCAUCACAUUUCCUUCUGAAGUCCUAUUUUUCUUAAAGUGCACAGCAACAGUUAUGCCAGGGUAGCAGUGGUUAUUCUCCAACCAUGCUGAAGAACCAGGGUAGUCUGUUAACUCAACGUGAGUGAUCCAUGUCACUAUCAAUUCGUUUGUUCUUUAUAACUGUGGAUUUGCAUUUUUUUUUUUUCCCCUCCAAAUUGUUAAAAUUUUCCACUGCCUGUUGGAGAUCAGCUGUUGUCAGUGAAAGUUUGACAUGGAUGACAGUGGCCGUGGGUGGCACAGACAGCAUUUGGUGUUACCCCCAUGUUACUUGUAAUCUGAGAGGGCUUUAGCUGCUAAGAUGCUGGUGCCUUUCAUUCAGGCUUUGGUCUGACAUUCCUGGCAUAGCAGGGAUGAGGCUGGGGUGAGCAGAAAAGGAGUAGCAGAAAGGAAUAAAUUCAUGGAACCCAGUGGAAUGCUAUGAAAUCAGCAGCACCACCAUUCCUGGAUUCUCAGAAAUCAUGAUCCAGAUCCCUAACAGUGAGAACAGCUUCUGAAUAAAAAAGAAAGAAAGAAAAAGACAUGUAUAGAGAUACCCUAUGACAUGUAAGUCAAAGCCAGACAUCCGUGUUUCAUUCUGUCCAGUCACCAUUUUUAUCAUUUGUAUCUGUUUUUUUCCACUUAGGAUUCAUGCUUUUUUUGCAAUACUUUAAUGGUCUGAGUCUUAAAAAUACUGGAUUUAAUUGUCUGAGGGAAAGAGUGAAGAUUUUAUGGAAACCACCAAAUAUCCUGUGACUUGUGAUAAAAUUGUAGUGCUGAUUAGAGAAGGAUUGUUAUGGCAUUAAAUCAGUUAACAUAAUUCAAUAAAUUGAGAAUUUUGUUUUCUUA